AUUGAACGCUGGCGGCAUGCCUUACACAUGCAAGUCGAACGGUAACAGGUCUUCGGAUGCUGACGAGUGGCGAACGGGUGAGUAAUACAUCGGAACGUGCCCGAUCGUGGGGGAUAACGAAGCGUAAGCUUUGCUAAUACCGCAUACGAUCUACGGAUGAAAGCGGGGGAUCUUCGGACCUCGCGCGGACGGAGCGGCCGAUGGCAGAUUAGGUAGUUGGUGGGAUAAAAGCUUACCAAGCCGACGAUCUGUAGCUGGUCUGAGAGGAUGAUCAGCCACACUGGGACUGAGACACGGCCCAGACUCCUACGGGAGGCAGCAGUGGGGAAUUUUGGACAAUGGGCGCAAGCCUGAUCCAGCCAUGCCGCGUGCAGGAUGAAGGCCUUCGGGUUGUAAACUGCUUUUGUACGGAACGAAAAGGUGCCUUCUAAUAAAGGGCGCUCAUGACGGUACCGUAAGAAUAAGCACCGGCUAACUACGUG
RNAcentral lists this ribosomal RNA (482 nucleotides) under uncultured bacterium. Its description in RNAcentral is "partial 16S ribosomal RNA". It matches the Rfam family "Bacterial small subunit ribosomal RNA", at positions 30 to 507 of the family's 1533-position model. The record is from RNAcentral.